GAGGAAUAUUGCGCAAUGGGGGCAACCCUGACGCAGCAACGCCGCGUGAGUGAGGAAGGUUUUCGGACCGUAAAGCUCUGUCGAGCGGGAAGAAAUGCAUGGUGGCUAAUAUCCAUCAUGCUUGACGGUACCGCUAAAGGAAGCACCGGCUAACUCCGUGCCAGCAGCCGCGGUAAUACGGGGGGUGCGAGCGUUGUUCGGAAUUAUUGGGCGUAAAGAGCGUGUAGGCGGCCGAAUAAGUCAGAUGUGAAAUCCCUGGGCUUAACCCAGGACGUGCAUUUGAAACUAUUCGGCUAGAGUAGGGGAGAGGAAAGUGGAAUUCCUGGUGGAGAGGUGAAAGGCGUAGAUAUCAGGAGGAACACAGGUGGCAAAGGCGACUUUCUGGCCCUAUACCGACGCUGAGACGCGAGAGCGUGGGUAGCAAACA
RNAcentral lists this ribosomal RNA (427 nucleotides) under uncultured bacterium. RNAcentral describes it as "bacterial SSU rRNA". It matches the Rfam family "Bacterial small subunit ribosomal RNA", at positions 356 to 774 of the family's 1533-position model. The record is from RNAcentral.